RNAcentral lists this ribosomal RNA (429 nucleotides) under Gemmatimonadota bacterium. RNAcentral's name for it is "Gemmatimonadetes bacterium partial 16S ribosomal RNA". It matches the Rfam family "Bacterial small subunit ribosomal RNA", at positions 355 to 776 of the family's 1533-position model. The record is from RNAcentral. Lineage: Bacteria; Pseudomonadati; Gemmatimonadota.
UAGGGAAUCUUCGGCAAUGGACGAAAGUCUGACCGAGCAACGCCGCGUGAGUGAAGAAGGUUUUCGGAUCGUAAAACUCUGUUGUUAGAGAAGAACAAGGACGUUAGUAACUGAACGUCCCCUGACGGUAUCUAACCAGAAAGCCACGGCUAACUACGUGCCAGCAGCUGCGGUAAUACGUAGGUGGCAAGCGUUGUCCGGAUUUAUUGGGCGUAAAGCGAGCGCAGGCGGUUUCUUAAGUCUGAUGUGAAAGCUCCCGGCUCAACCGGGGAGGGUCAUUGGAAACUGGGAGACUUGAGUGCAGAAGAGGAGAGUGGAAUUCCAUGUGUAGCGGUGAAAUGCGUAGAUAUAUGGAGGAACACCAGUGGCGAAGGCGGCUCUCUGGUCUGUAACUGACGCUGAGGCUCGAAAGCGUGGGGAGCAAACAGG